RNAcentral lists this ribosomal RNA (54 nucleotides) under Trichoderma atroviride. RNAcentral describes it as "partial 28S ribosomal RNA". Lineage: Eukaryota; Fungi; Ascomycota; Sordariomycetes; Hypocreales; Hypocreaceae. The record is from RNAcentral.
AUCAGGUAGGAAUACCCGCUGAACUUAAGCAUAUCAAUAAGCGGAGGAAAAAAA